UUGGAACUUAAAAUCCUAUAAAUACACAUUGAUUUUAUAAGAAAUACUCCUUAAUUUUAUCAUUUAAUACUUGAUAUUUUAUAUAAUAAUUAAUAUUUUAUAUAAUUCUUAGUGAUUUGGGUAUCUGCAAAUUUGCUAUUCUUGGAUCUUCCUUUGAUCUUCAUCAAAAGCUCGGUGAGCACAUCUUGGAAUAUCCAACUCAGCUUCCCAGAGAUGUUACUUUUUUCACCUCAUAAGAGCAAUGUUUCUUUCUGGUAAGAACAUUUGGUGGGCACCAUGAAUACUCGGGUUCUCACUCAAGCAGAGUUUCUUUACUCAAAAUUCAAUGUCAUUUACAAGAGGGUGUGACCACUUAUUUAGUGUGAU
RNAcentral lists this long non-coding RNA (366 nucleotides) under Phaseolus vulgaris (common bean). RNAcentral describes it as "long non-coding RNA (PVUL_LNC003798)". The record is from RNAcentral. Lineage: Eukaryota; Viridiplantae; Streptophyta; Magnoliopsida; Fabales; Fabaceae.